RNAcentral lists this ribosomal RNA (406 nucleotides) under uncultured bacterium. RNAcentral's name for it is "partial 16S ribosomal RNA". It matches the Rfam family "Bacterial small subunit ribosomal RNA", at positions 30 to 526 of the family's 1533-position model. The record is from RNAcentral.
AUUGAACGCUGGCGGCAGGCCUAACACAUGCAAGUCGAACGAGUGGCGGACGGGUGAGUAAUGCCUGGGAAUCUGGCAUAUGGAGGGGGAUAACGACGGGAAACUGUCGCUAAUACCGCGUACCAUAGGAUGAGCCCAAGGGGGAUUAGGUAGUUGGUGGGGUAAAGGCUUACCAAGCCGACGAUCUCUAGCUGGUCUGAGAGGAUGACCAGCCACACCGGGACUGAGACACGGCCCGGACUCCUACGGGAGGCAGCAGUGGGGAAUAUUGCACAAUGGGCGCAAGCCUGAUGCAGCCAUGCCGCGUGAAUGAAGAAGGCCUUCGGGUUGUAAAGUACUUUCGGUGACGAGGCGUUACCUACAGAAGAAGCACCGGCUAACUCCGUGCCAGCAGCCGCGGUAAUAC